GACGAACGCUGGCGGCGUGCCUAAUACAUGCAAGUAGAACGCUGAAGGAGGAGCUUGCUUCUCUGGAUGAGUUGCGAACGGGUGAGUAGCGCGUAGGUAACCUGCCUGGUAGCGGGGGAUAACUAUUGGAAACGAUAGCUAAUACCGCAUAAUAGUAGAUGUUGCAUGACAUUUGCUUAAAAGGUGCAAUUGCAUCACUACCAGAUGGACCUGCGUUGUAUUAGCUAGUUGGUGAGGUAACGGCUCACCAAGGCGACGAUACAUAGCCGACCUGAGAGGGUGAUCGGCCACACUGGGACUGAGACACGGCCCAGACUCCUACGGGAGGCAGCAGUAGGGAAUCUUCGGCAAUGGACGGAAGUCUGACCGAGCAACGCCGCGUGAGUGAAGAAGGGUUUCGGAUCGUAAAGCUCUGUUGUAAGAGAAGAACGAGUGUGAGAGUGGAAAGUUCACACUGUGACGGUAUCUUACCAGAAAGGGACGGCUAACUACGUG
This 495-nucleotide ribosomal RNA is filed under the name uncultured bacterium. RNAcentral describes it as "partial 16S ribosomal RNA". It matches the Rfam family "Bacterial small subunit ribosomal RNA", at positions 28 to 507 of the family's 1533-position model. The record is from RNAcentral.